GAGCAUAACAGUUGGCAUCAUUUACGCAGCGAUACUGAUGUGAUAAUUGUGGCAUCUGUGAUUGGGAGGUGAAUAAUUCUGGCAGCCAUGGUAAGCUGUGUAUUCGUCUAUGUAUGUGUGUGUGUGUGCCUGUAGGUGUGCCAGGCCCCCACCAUAGGUACCCAUGGAGAUCUCCGGACUGAAAUAUUCAUUCUUGUUUGCUCGCCCAGACAGUGUGGUCCUAAUUGCAGCAUCAGAAAGCUCCACCUCUCCCUCUCGUCUGGCUUGGCUGCAGCAGAGAUAAACCUCAUCUGGGAGCAGGAUGUCUCUGGCGAAUAUGAGGCUCUGGAGUUUUUCAUCAGUUCCCGUGCCAACCCUACCCAUGCCUGGCCAAGCUGAACCAUCUUGUGGGAUUUUUGGCUUUUAAUUAUACACUCAGUGUACCACUCCAGAUGAUGGCUUCCACAGAUGGCACCCAGUGGUUGAAGGAACCUGAUUCAAUCAGACAACCUGGUUUGGCGUCAAACAUCCACCCUGCUGAAAUGCUCGUAUCCUGACAGCAAUAAGUAUGACUCAUCUUCCACAGUUCUAAGUAAAAUCCUAUCUGCC
Molecule: long non-coding RNA, 588 nt
Organism: Oreochromis aureus
Lineage: Eukaryota; Metazoa; Chordata; Actinopteri; Cichliformes; Cichlidae
Source: Ensembl